UCGCUACUACCGAUUGAAUGAUUUAGUGAGGCUCUCGGACUGGGCUCUGAUGACACUUCGGUGUUUUCUUAGCUCGGAAAGUUUUCCAAACUGUAUCAAGGUUUCCGUAGGUGA
This 114-nucleotide ribosomal RNA is filed under the name uncultured eukaryote. RNAcentral describes it as "partial small subunit ribosomal RNA". The record is from RNAcentral.